Daphnia pulex (common water flea) is the source of this 1708-nucleotide long non-coding RNA. RefSeq lists it as uncharacterized. The record is from RefSeq and is a predicted model, not a curated record. The transcript is spliced from 6 exons. NCBI's taxonomy places the organism in Eukaryota, Metazoa, Arthropoda, Branchiopoda, Diplostraca, Daphniidae.
GAUUGAAACCUGUUCAAACCCUUUACUGUGGAUUCCCCUGGAGUCAACUGCGUCGAUCGCCAUAAAGAAAAGGAUCCCACUCGAGUCAUCUGGGAAAAAGAAAAAACCUGCUGGACAAGAGGAGCGGGGAGGUUUACACGUUGAUGAAUUAAGUGUCAAACGUUCUCAAGUCUCAAGGAGUACAAAAAAAAAAGGUGAUCGAGUGGCAAUUGAUGUCCCACCAAUUUAUGUUCACUCGCUGUCGACUCAAUGCUGUGCCCGUAUUGGAGCCGUCCAUUCCGUAUUAGUCUUUGCCGGAUUCAGUGCGGAAGCGUUGGCCACUCGCAUCAAAGAAAAGUUUUCAUCUCUCUCCGCUCACUCGAGGGUGAACCCAUCAACGUGGAGGCUUGGCACUGGUACAACAAAGUUGUGGGCAAAGAGAAAUGCGCCGUUGUGGACACUUGGUGGCAAACGGAAACGGGAGGCAUUUGCAUCAGUCCAACAACCUCGGCCCCUGGAUCAGAAAUUCGUCCCAGCAUGCCGAUGAGGCCGAUGUACGGAAUCUGGCCCACUAUUCUAGGAGGAAAGGGGGGACGAGUUGAAAGGUUGAGUUCAUAUUUGAUUUAGGUAGAUGUUGCGUCGGUUUUGUGUUGUGAAAUUUAAUUUAAUUUAUUAGACACAAGUGUCCAGCAACUGUCCCACUCGAGUAUUUGCCCAAGAUGUAUGAACUUCUUUUAUUUUCCAAAGUACCUUUAAAGCGUGAUGAUUGCCUUGAGCAUAUUUUACAGCCAAUACACGCAGUGAAUUGAAAGAAAAAUAAUUAUGUAGAUAAUGAUCACAUCCUGCUCCAAUCAACAGUCUCAGUCUUUUAAGGUAUAAGGCGACCUAACAAAGCAUAAACCGCUUUAUUUUACAACAUUCUCAAAUAUUUCAUUUAUGCGUUUCAAAUUCUUUUGCCUCAUCUGACUGUGAGGCUGUGAGCACGAAGACACCGUAACUUGUCCGUCCGAGGAUUCCAAUAAAUUCGCACCGAUGUGUCAGGAUCUGAUCUGGAAUUGUGGAUGGUACCCCCGAAACCUACAUUACAGCGGCUGCAUCUGUGUAUCCUUGUGACGUUGUUGAUUUUUCUAGAAUACAUCUGUUGACUCUGCUUUAAUGAAUUUUUAUUUAAAGAUGAAGGAGCAUUUAUUAAGGUUGCUGAAAAUCGUAAGCACAAUAUUUUCAAACCGAUUCUUUUAACACUUUUUAGUUUUGGGAUUGGAGGAAAUAAAGUUUCAGGAAUCCCCCACCAGGUGCCACUGCAGUUCAAUAACAAAAAUGGCUGCUAUUCUCCACAUUGAUUAGUGUUUGGUAGUGCUUGGUGGUCUGUCUUUCACGUUUCGAUGCAGUAUCAAGAGAAAUUUUUAAAAAUAUUUGUUUGGCGUUCGUUGCCUUGUAGAUUCUCUGAAAGUCGUGCUGGUAUUGCUGCCCUAUUUAGUUAAGUUGGCCCAGUUAAAGCGUGGUUAAAGUGAGUAUUAUCUCAACCUGAAGAAAAGAAGAAUGCAAGUCACACCGCUGCUGCCAGCAUAUUUGAAGUUCACUCAGUUGAGGAGGAAACCUGAAAGUUCUGCAGCCUACUACCAACUAUUUUGUUCAUAAUCAUUGUAUUCUACUGAAUGUGCCAGCGAAAUGAUACAGAAUUCACCAUACUUUUUUUCCUGUUGUGGACUUGCUAGAUCAUCAACUGCAG